This 79-nucleotide transfer RNA is filed under the name bacterium. RNAcentral describes it as "tRNA-Leu". It matches the Rfam family "tRNA". Rfam says of the family: Transfer RNA (tRNA) molecules are approximately 80 nucleotides in length. Their secondary structure includes four short double-helical elements and three loops (D, anti-codon, and T loops). The record is from RNAcentral.
CGUGGUGAAAUUGGUAGACACACGGGACUUAAAAUCCCGAGACCGCAAGGUCGUGCCGGUUCAAGUCCGGCCGCGAGCA